This 207-nucleotide ribosomal RNA is filed under the name uncultured bacterium. RNAcentral describes it as "partial 16S ribosomal RNA". It matches the Rfam family "Bacterial small subunit ribosomal RNA", at positions 1284 to 1500 of the family's 1533-position model. The record is from RNAcentral.
GGUCCCAGUUCGGAUUGUAGGCUGCAACUCGCCUACAUGAAGUCGGAGUUGCUAGUAAUCGCGGAUCAGAAUGCCGCGGUGAAUGCGUUCCCGGGUCUUGUACACGCCGCCCGUCACACCAUGGAAGUUGGGGGCGCCCGAAGUUGGUCGAGGAAUAGAUUACCUAAGGCGAAACCAAUGACUGGGGUGAAGUCGUAACAAGGUAGC